GACGAACGCUGGCGGCGUGCCUAAUACAUGCAAGUAGAACGCACAGAUUAUACCCUUGCUUGCUACACCAUAGACUCUGAGUUGCGAACGGCUGAUUGAUGCGCAGGUAAUCUGCCUGGGAUCGGGUGAGGACUAUGGAGCACAAUAGCUAAUAUCUCUUAAUAUUAAUUAUUCCAUGAUAAUUAAUUGAAUUGUGCAAUUUCAUCACUACCAGCUGGACCUGCGUUGUAUUAGCUAGUAGGGCAGGUAACGGGUCACCUAGGCGAAGAUACAUAGCCGACCUGGGAGGGUGAUCGGCCAACCUGGGACUGAGACACGGGUCAGACUCCUACGGGAGGGAGCAGUAGGGAAUCUUCGGCAAUGGAGGAAAGUCUGAACGAGGAACGGCGCGGGGGUGAAGAAGGUUUUCGGGUCGGAAAGAUCUGUUGUAAGGGAAGAACGGGUGUGGGAGUGGAAAGUUCACGCUGUGACGGUAGCUUACCAGAAAGGGACGGCUAACUACGUG
This 505-nucleotide ribosomal RNA is filed under the name uncultured bacterium. RNAcentral's name for it is "partial 16S ribosomal RNA". It matches the Rfam family "Bacterial small subunit ribosomal RNA", at positions 28 to 507 of the family's 1533-position model. The record is from RNAcentral.